Molecule: non-coding RNA, 150 nt
Organism: Pteropus alecto (black flying fox)
Lineage: Eukaryota; Metazoa; Chordata; Mammalia; Chiroptera; Pteropodidae
Source: Rfam
AUGCCUUAAACUUAUGAGUAAGGAAAAUAACGAUUUGGGAUGACGCCCGAAUCCUUACUGCCAAUUGGAGAAGCAUUUUUGAGCGGAUAAAGGUUGCCCUUAAGGUGAUCUGCUUACUUUGCAGGAUGCCUAAGAGUGGUGAUCUGCCUG